GCCUUCGGGUUGUAAACCUCUUUCGCCAGGGACGAAGCGCAAGUGACGGUACCUGGAGAAGAAGGACCGGCCAACUACGUGCCAGCAGCCGCGGUAAUACGUAGGGUCCGAGCGUUGUCCGGAAUUACUGGGCGUAAAGAGCUCGUAGGUGGUUUGUCGCGUUGUUCGUGAAAACUCACAGCUUAACUGUGGGCGUGCGGGCGAUACGGGCAGACUUGAGUACUGCAGGGGAGACUGGAAUUCCUGGUGUAGCGGUGGAAUGCGCAGAUAUCAGGAGGAACACCGGUGGCGAAGGCGGGUCUCUGGGCAGUAACUGACGCUGAGGAGCGAAAGCGUGGGGAGCGAACAGGAUUAGAUACCCUGGUAGUCCACGCCGUAAACGGUGGGUACUAGGUGUGGGUUUCCUUCCUUGGGAUCCGUGCCGUAGCUAACGCAUUAAGUAC
RNAcentral lists this ribosomal RNA (443 nucleotides) under uncultured bacterium. RNAcentral describes it as "bacterial SSU rRNA". It matches the Rfam family "Bacterial small subunit ribosomal RNA", at positions 414 to 867 of the family's 1533-position model. The record is from RNAcentral.